GAAUGAAGAACGUAGCGAAAUGCGAUAAGUAGUGUGAAUUGCAGAAUUCAGUGAAUCAUCGAAUCUUUGAACGCACAUUGCGCCCCUUGGUAUUCCAUGGGGCAUGCCUGUUCGAGCGUCAUUUGUACCUUCAAGCCUUGCUUGGUGUUGGGUGUUUGUCUCGCCUCUGCGCGCAGACUCGCCUCAAAACAAUUGGCAGCCGGCGUAUUGAUUUCGGAGCGCAGUACAUCUCGCGCUUUGCACUCAGAACGACGACGUCCAAAAGUACAUUUUUACACUCUUGACCUCGGAUCAGGUAGGGAUACCCGCUGAACUUAAGCAUAUCAAUAGCGGAGA
RNAcentral lists this unclassified non-coding RNA (336 nucleotides) under soil metagenome. RNAcentral's name for it is "partial contains 5.8S ribosomal RNA, internal transcribed spacer 2, and large subunit ribosomal RNA". The stretch from base 3 to 121 matches the Rfam family "5.8S ribosomal RNA", at positions 36 to 154 of the family's 154-position model. The record is from RNAcentral.